This 753-nucleotide ribosomal RNA is filed under the name uncultured bacterium. Its description in RNAcentral is "bacterial SSU rRNA". It matches the Rfam family "Bacterial small subunit ribosomal RNA", at positions 645 to 1398 of the family's 1533-position model. The record is from RNAcentral.
AGUGAAGGAGAGGUAAGUGGAAUCCCUAGUGUAGCGGUGAAAUGCGUAGAUAUUAGGAAGAAUACCAGUAGCGAAGGCGACUUACUGGCCUUUAACUGACGCUGAGGAACGAAAGCGUGGGUAGCAAACAGGAUUAGAUACCCUGGUAGUCCACGCCGUAAACGAUGAGUGCUAGGUGUCGGGUGUCAAAGCUCGGUGCCGCAGUUAACGCAAUAAGCACUCCGCCUGGGGAGUACGUACGCAAGUAUGAAACUCAAAGGAAUUGACGGGGACCCGCACAAGCAGCGGAGCAUGUGGUUUAAUUCGAAGCAACGCGAAGAACCUUACCAGGACUUGACAUAUAGAUGACAGGUAUGGAGACAUACUAUUUCUUUCGAGAACAUCUAUACAGGUGGUGCAUGGUUGUCGUCAGCUCGUGUCGUGAGAUGUUGGGUUAAGUCCCGCAACGAGCGCAACCCUUAUUUUUAUUUGCCAUCAGGUAAUGCUGGGAACUAUAAAGAGACUGCCGAUAAGAAAUCGGAGGAAGGUGGGGAUGACGUCAAAUCAUCAUGCCCUAUAUGUCCUGGGCUACACACGUGCUACAAUGGUCGUUACAGAGAGCAGCGAAAUAGUGAUAUCAAGCAAAUCUCAAAAAGGCGAUCUCAGUUCGGAUUGUACUCUGCAACUCGAGUACAUGAAGUCGGAGUUGCUAGUAAUCGCGGAUCAGAAUGCCGCGGUGAAUGCGUUCCNCGGGUCUUGUACACACCGCCCGUC